This 1365-nucleotide ribosomal RNA is filed under the name marine metagenome. RNAcentral describes it as "bacterial LSU rRNA". It matches the Rfam family "Bacterial large subunit ribosomal RNA", at positions 1104 to 2466 of the family's 2925-position model. The record is from RNAcentral.
GCUUAGAAGCAGCCACCCUUUAAAGAAAGCGUAACAGCUCACUGGUCAAGUGCUCCUGCGCGGAAGAUGUAACGGGGCUAAGUAAUACACCGAAGCUCUGGAUCCGUAAGGAUGGUAGACGAGUAUUGGAGCAACCUGCGAAGGUGUACCGUGAGGUAUGCUGGAGGAACUUCAAGAGCUCAUGCUAGCAUAAGUAGCGAUAAGGGGAGUGAGAAACUCCCCCGCCGAAAGUCCAAGGUUUCCUGGGCCAGGGUAAUCCUCCCAGGGUUAGUCGGCACCUAAGGCGAGGCCGAAAGGCGUAGUCGAUGGAAAACAGGUUAAUAUUCCUGUACUUCUUUUAUGGAGUGAUGCGGGGGUGGAGAAAGGUAGCUCUGCUGGGCGAUGGUUGUCCCAGUUCAAGCGUGUAGGCAGUGGAAUUUGGCAAAUCCGGUUCCAUAAUGUCGAGACGUGAUGUGGUGAACUUCGGUUCUUAAGAGAGUGAUCCUAUGCUUACAAGAAAAGCCGCUAAACGUUGAAAUAAGAGAAACCGUACUCUAAACCAACUCAGGUGGACAGGUAGAGAAUACUAAGGCGAUUGAGUGAAACCAGGCUAAGGAACUCGGCAAAUUAACACCGUAACUUCGGGAUAAGGUGUGCCUCCAGCGUGUAGAGACUUGCUCUUGAAGCGUAGUGAGGUUGCAGAGAAGAGGGGGUAGCGACUGUUUAUCAAAAACAUAGCACUAUGCAAAAUCGUAAGAUGACGUAUAUGGUGUGACGCCUGCCCGGUGCUGGAAGGUUAAAAGGAUGGGUUAGCGCAAGCAAAGCUCAGAAUUGAAGCCCCAGUAAACGGCGGCCGUAACUAUAACGGUCCUAAGGUAGCGAAAUUCCUUGUCGGGUAAGUUCCGACCUGCACGAAUGGCGUAACGACUUCCCCGCUGUCUCGGCCUGGUGCUCAGCGAAUUUGAAAACCGGGUGAAGAUGCCCGGUACCCGCAGCAAGACGGAAAGACCCCGUGAACCUUUACUGCAGCUUGGCAGUGAUGAUUGGGUGUAUUUGUGUAGGAUAGGUGGGAGACUUUGAAGUGGGAGCGCUAGUUCUCAUGGAGUCGUCCUUGAAAUACCACCCUGAUACAUCUGGUUAUCUAACCAUGGUCCCUUAUCGGGACUUGGGACAUUGCCUGGUGGGUAGUUUGACUGGGGCGGUCGCCUCCCAAAAAGUAACGGAGGCGCCCAAAGGUUCCCUCAGACCGAAUGGAAACCGGUCGAAGAGUGCAAAGGCAUAAGGGAGCUUAACUGCGAGAGAGACAUCUCGAGCAGGUACGAAAGUAGGGCUUAGUGAUCCGGUGGCUCCGCAUGGAAGGGCCAUCGCUCAACGGAUAAAAGGUAC